ACCACGAGAGUGGGGACGUCAGCGGAACUGCCGGUGACAAACCGGAGGAAGGUGGGGACGGACGUCAAGUCAUCAUGGCCCUUAUGUCCUGGGCUACACACGUGCUACAAUGGCCGGUACAGAGCGCAGCGAGGCCGCGAGGCGGAGCGAAUCGCUUAAAGCCGGUCCCAGUACGGAUUGGAGUCUGCAACCCGACUCCAUGAAGUUGGAAUCGCUAGUAAUCGCGCAUCAGCAUGGCGCGGUGAAUACGUUCCCGGGCCUU
RNAcentral lists this ribosomal RNA (262 nucleotides) under uncultured Spirochaeta sp. RNAcentral's name for it is "partial 16S ribosomal RNA". It matches the Rfam family "Bacterial small subunit ribosomal RNA", at positions 1120 to 1382 of the family's 1533-position model. Lineage: Bacteria; Pseudomonadati; Spirochaetota; Spirochaetia; Spirochaetales; Spirochaetaceae. The record is from RNAcentral.